RNAcentral lists this ribosomal RNA (886 nucleotides) under uncultured bacterium. RNAcentral describes it as "bacterial SSU rRNA". It matches the Rfam family "Bacterial small subunit ribosomal RNA", at positions 8 to 888 of the family's 1533-position model. The record is from RNAcentral.
GAGGGUUUGAUCCUGGCUCAGAUUGAACGCUGGCGGCAGGCCUAACACAUGCAAGUCGAGCGGAUGAAGGGAGCUUGCUCCUGGAUUCAGCGGCGGACGGGUGAGUAAUGCCUAGGAAUCUGCCUGGUAGUGGGGGAUAACGUCCGGAAACGGGCGCUAAUACCGCAUACGUCCUGAGGGAGAAAGUGGGGGAUCUUCGGACCUCACGCUAUCAGAUGAGCCUAGGUCGGAUUAGCUAGUUGGUGGGGUAAAGGCCUACCAAGGCGACGAUCCGUAACUGGUCUGAGAGGAUGAUCAGUCACACUGGAACUGAGACACGGUCCAGACUCCUACGGGAGGCAGCAGUGGGGAAUAUUGGACAAUGGGCGAAAGCCUGAUCCAGCCAUGCCGCGUGUGUGAAGAAGGUCUUCGGAUUGUAAAGCACUUUAAGUUGGGAGGAAGGGCAGUAAGUUAAUACCUUGCUGUUUUGACGUUACCAACAGAAUAAGCACCGGCUAACUUCGUGCCAGCAGCCGCGGUAAUACGAAGGGUGCAAGCGUUAAUCGGAAUUACUGGGCGUAAAGCGCGCGUAGGUGGUUCAGCAAGUUGGAUGUGAAAUCCCCGGGCUCAACCUGGGAACUGCAUCCAAAACUACUGAGCUAGAGUACGGUAGAGGGUGGUGGAAUUUCCUGUGUAGCGGUGAAAUGCGUAGAUAUAGGAAGGAACACCAGUGGCGAAGGCGACCACCUGGACUGAUACUGACACUGAGGUGCGAAAGCGUGGGGAGCAAACAGGAUUAGAUACCCUGGUAGUCCACGCCGUAAACGAUGUCGACUAGCCGUUGGGAUCCUUGAGAUCUUAGUGGCGCAGCUAACGCGAUAAGUCGACCGCCUGGGGAGUACGGCCG